UACAGAGGUCCCAAGCGUUGUUCGGAUUCACUGGGCGUAAAGGGUGCGCAGGUGGCUGUGUAAGUUUGAUGUGAAAUCUCCGGGCUCAACCCGGAAAUGGCAUUGAAUACUACAUGGCUGGAGGUUUGGAGGGGGGACUGGAAUUCCCAGUGUAGCGGUGAAAUGCGUAGAUAUUGGGAGGAACACCAGUGGCGAAGGCGGCUCACUGGACCGGAACUGACGCUGAGGCGCGAAAGCGUGGGGAGCAAACAGG
This 253-nucleotide ribosomal RNA is filed under the name uncultured bacterium. RNAcentral describes it as "partial 16S ribosomal RNA". It matches the Rfam family "Bacterial small subunit ribosomal RNA", at positions 524 to 776 of the family's 1533-position model. The record is from RNAcentral.